AUGAAUUUUUUCUAAUAAUUAAGCUCGGAACACUCUGACGACAGCAAGCGACAAGCAGCAUCUGUCAAAUUUUAAGUACACACGUUCUUACGGACACAAUUAUUUUGACGACAG
Rhagoletis zephyria (snowberry fruit fly) is the source of this 114-nucleotide long non-coding RNA. RefSeq lists it as uncharacterized. The record is from RefSeq and is a predicted model, not a curated record. Lineage: Eukaryota; Metazoa; Arthropoda; Insecta; Diptera; Tephritidae.